RNAcentral lists this ribosomal RNA (506 nucleotides) under uncultured bacterium. RNAcentral's name for it is "partial 16S ribosomal RNA". It matches the Rfam family "Bacterial small subunit ribosomal RNA", at positions 29 to 523 of the family's 1533-position model. The record is from RNAcentral.
AUUGAACGCUGGCGGCAGGCCUAACACAUGCAAGUCGAGCGGCAGCGGGAAGUAGCUUGCUACUUUGCCGGCGAGCGGCGGACGGGUGAGUAAUGUCUGGGAAACUGCCUGAUGGAGGGGGAUAACUACUGGAAACGGUAGCUAAUACCGCAUAACGUCGCAAGACCAAAGAGGGGGACCUUCGGGCCUCUUGGCAUCAGAUGUGCCCAGACGGGAGUAGCUAGUAGGUGGGGUGACGGCUCACCUAGGCGACGAUCCCUAGCUCGUAUGAGAGGAUGACCAGCCACACUGGAAAUGAGACACGGUCCAGACUCCUACGGGAGGCAGCAGUGGGGAAUAUAGCACAAUGGGCGCAAGCCUGAUGCAGCCAUGCCGCGUGUAUGAAGAAGGCCUUAGGGUUGUAAAGUACUUUCAGCGGGGAGGAAGGUGUUGAGGUUAAUAACCUCAGCAAUUGACGUUACCCGCAGAAGAAGCACCGGCUAACUCCGUGCCAGCCGCCGCAGUAA